AUGCUUCGGGGUGGCACCUGGGGUGGCCAGUCUGGUUGGGGGGGGUGGCCUGGACACGCCACUGAGCCAAGCAUAAUUAUUCACCUCUCGUGUGUGGAAGGAAGUCUGUGGAGUGCUCAGUCUUUUAUCCCCAGUUUCAUCCCUAGACUAAUGGAAAAACUGAGCAUCCUAACCACCUGCACUGAGGCCGCUCUUUGCUGUGUUGCAUCAUCCAAGCAGUCAACAUGGAGAUCUCACCUGCCCUGGGUUGAAUAUACACACAACCACAUGACAUCAUCUACAACUCUGCUGUCCCUGUUUGCAUCCCCAGUCUGCUACCAACCUCUACUUUCUCCAGAUGCUCUUUGUUUCCUCUGUACAGGAUAUCCAUCAUUUCCAUGUCCCCCAGCUGAAGCAUCAAAUGGCGUGAGAGAUGCUUGGUGGACUGUGAAGGGUAUGGCCUGGUUGCUCCAACCUGGACAAACAUUACAACUUUGUAUAAUCUGAAGACUCCAUACAUUUUGAUGUCAUUACUUCAGCUUCAUUUCUGAGAAAUCUGGUGUUGUCUGAUGAUCAAAACUAAAACCCUUGAAACUGGUCUUGUGCAUAAACAGCUGCAGAAAUAAAAAAAAAAAACACGGAUUAUGAUUGUGUUUUAAGAUAUAACAAUAAAGCUUAGCUUCCACCCACUCGUAGUGGCCAUGGAUGAGAAAGACACAAACCAUGUAAACACAAUUUUCUUACCCUCUAAAAAAUGCCUUCUUUGUAAAAAGUGCAGUGGAAAGGGGAGAGAGUCAUUAGUCCCCUCAUAAUCACCUGUCCCCUCAGCACCACCGCUCCACUGCCACAAACUUAUAUUGAUCUUAUCUGAAAAAUAAACCAAUAAAUGUAGAAAUACAACAUCUUGAAAUACUUUAUUUAUCAAACACAAACCGUCGCUAAACCUAAUAAAUUCUUGAAAGGUUUACAACAGACCGGGCAAAAAUCUCCAUAGUCCUGAAUGCACUCCACUGAUUCCAGAAGCCAGAACUUGAGCUGUAAACUGGGAAUCAAACGAGGCUUUUAUGGAGAUCUCAUGUGGGAUAUGUGGUCUUUGUCUCUGUAUACUGACCUACAUGCUUAGCUAGCUGCACAGUCUGAAUUCUUUGAGCUGGUUGCAACAGUCUUCUUUAAAACCAAAGAACUGUCUCUUGUUUACUAUUCACUUUCUGCCCUUCUGUAUCACCUGAGCUGCAGAACAUGGAAAAGUAGUUUAUCAGUGCUGGCAUUCAGCGUGGGCUUUUCACACACCAGGUGUAAAAGAAAGACAAAUACACCUGCCUUCGAUUGCCGGUCAUUUUCAUACCCAACCUGCACCAGUGGUUGGUUUUGCAAGCCUCCAGGGCUAGCAUCAGCAGCAAAUGGCACUGAAAGAUGGCAAACACGGUAUUGUGUAUAUGUGUAAAAUCAUAUCUCAAAGGCCACAGCUGUGUUUAGAAUGUGUUAACGUGUCAGGUAAGUGUGAUUCAUACGCUUUUUUGAAUCAGUAUGGAACCGGUGCUCUCUCACUAUAUUCCAAGCGUCCUAUUCCCCAUAGUCAAAUUAAAAAACAAAACCUAAUGUGAGAUGUUUUUGCUGUGAUUUUUGGACUUUUUGGAAGUCAUCAUGUGUUUGUUAUUUUUCCACAUUCCCCCAAUCUUUAUGGAAAUUAAAUAUUUAAUAAUUGAUUGGUUAUUCAGACUGACAGAAGACAAAGUGACUGUGAGAGGAUUUCCAGAAACUAAUGAGUCAAGAAACGUUAUGGUCCAGGGUCAGUGAGCCAGGGUGUUGGACUGUUCUGUCUUUGGGGGUUAAUACUAAGUUAAAUUGUUGUCUGUGGGUGAUGCAUGUUUGGUUUUGUGGUACUUAAUUAAUUUCUCUUUUGAUCAUUUCGUUUUUCUGUGAAGUUGUAGCUUUUAGUUUCCUAGUUAU
This is a long non-coding RNA of Oreochromis niloticus (Nile tilapia), 1929 nucleotides long. Lineage: Eukaryota; Metazoa; Chordata; Actinopteri; Cichliformes; Cichlidae. The record is from Ensembl.